UAACUUGUAGAGCCCUGAAGGAGUGCAGAGUUGGUGAGAAGACUGGGAUUCUUUGGGGUGGGAAGUAGUAGCUGGAAGAGAGGCAGAGAAGAAAGGCUCCCCAUCCUUGGCUCGGCUCACAUUCAGCUUGGGGCUAACCAUGGUUGUGAAGAGGGCACAUGGACAUUCUGAGACACAAACUGCAUCUGGCAUGAACUAACUAUGAACAUUUUUAGAGAAGGGCCACAUAGUUUUCAAGCUGAAAGAAAACAGGCUGUAUUAUGCAUACAGUAUCUACAAUUGCACAUUCAAAAACUGAGUUAUAUCAUUUCUCAAUAUUAAUUGAAGAAAUGAUUAGAAUCCCUAUAGAAAGUAAUGCUGUGUUCAUUUACUCAAUUACUUUGAUGAAUGCCUUCCUGAAGCUGUCCUCACUCCCCCUCAUUGCUUCUCCAAGCCAAUAAACGGGAUCGAGUGGCAACUAACAAAAACUAGCCAACUCUGUCAAAAAGAUCUCCACAUCAGAAACCAAGACCUGGAAGCUGUAAGAAGCCUGGAUCCACACAAACGACUGCUUAGCAUUCAAAUACUCCCCUCCCAGAACACUUGAUGUGUUUCUUGCAUAUCUGACUUACUCUGCUGGCCAUCUACUGACAAAAGCAAUCUCUUCCCAGAUGAAAAUUUCUCUGGCCCUUUCUCUUUGUUUGUUUUUGGUAUUGUUUAAAAAACAGCAUUUCAAAUUCCUUCAGCCUUCCAGGAAAGCAGACAGAUGUGUAAACUAGAUUCCAAAGCACUAAGACUUCUGCUUCUUAAUAAGCUGGGACACAAUCAUGCCCUGGAAGCAAAAGUGAAUAGAAUUUCCUCAUUCACGAAGGGUCUACUGUUGAUUUUCUAAAAAGAAACAAAACAGUAACCAGAUGGUAGUUGACAGGGCAACUUUAAAGACAAGUAUUUGUUUUGAUCUCAUUCCUAAGGGAAAGAAAGUUAGAUAAUUAAUAGCAGGAAAGAACAGGAGAGAAAGGCUAGAGGAGAAGAAAUAUCAAAGAUAAUGUAUAAAGAGAAAUGUGAGGAGAAAUGGAUAUUGGAAAAUAAGGGGAAAAAAUAGCCAGUUCUAGAAAAAUAGAAAAUGGGAUGAAAUGAAAUAUAACUGCACAUUUUUCACUAAAUCGUUGCCUAGGAAACAACUAGGAGUGUUUCUCCCUGUACUGAAUAAUCGUUGAGAAACACACUGGACUUAGGGUCUCUUGGCUUUAUUGUAUCAACUGGGAAACUUACGUGUCAGUCAUAGUAGUUAUGAGCACCAUGCUUUCUAUAUCAUGCUUCUAACAACAGAAGUAGUCAGUUUCAACAAUUUUGGAGGGUAAUAGCAGAGGAAUUGUAAGUUUGAAACCUACAAACACAGGCAGGUUGAGACUUGAAAAUCUGAUUAGUCUAGGAUGACACAUUAGUAUGUGUAACACUAAGCAACAAACCGUGGAAAAGUCAAUUAGAAAAGCAGCUGAAGGCCCAUUUGGCAAUGUGAGAUCAUCUUUACAGUUUGCCUGGUAUCUGUUGAAAACCAGUUUUCCAUAUAAAGAGCCUGGUGCACUUAAAGUCAUAUAGUGUGGAGGCAAAGUUUCACGUUACAAAGCAGUUCUUUAUCCUCCAUUAGCGUACAGCCCCUAUGGAUCUUAUUAUCACUGUUUUCCUUUUAAUCUAAUAAUUAUAAAGAACAAAAAGCAUUAAAAAAUGCUUUACUGCUCCCAUUUGAAUUUGUCUUUCCUAUAGUUUAGUGAAUUUUGCAGAAAAUAUUUAUAUACAUUGUCUUAAAUAAGCCCAUCUCUAUAAAGCUG
RNAcentral lists this long non-coding RNA (1808 nucleotides) under Homo sapiens (human). RNAcentral describes it as "HSALNT0112616". The record is from RNAcentral. Lineage: Eukaryota; Metazoa; Chordata; Mammalia; Primates; Hominidae.